CCUACGGGAGGCAGCAGUGAGGAAUAUUGGGCAAUGGGCGGGAGCCUGAACCAGCCAAGCCGCGUGAGGGAAGAAGGUACAGCGUUUCGUAAACCUCUUUUGUCAGGGAACAAAGGCGGGGACUAGUCCCCGGAUGAGGGUACCUGAAGAAAAAGCAUCGGCUAACUCCGUGCCAGCAGCCGCGGUAAUACGGGGGAUGCGAGCGUUUUCCGGAUUUAUUGGGUUAAAGGGGUGCGCAGGGGGCCUGUUAAGUCAGCGGUAAAACCCCGGGGUUCAACCCCGGCGAGCCGUUGAAACUGGCGGGCUUGAGUUGGAGAGAGGUACGCGGAAUGCGCGGUGUAGCGGUGAAAUGCUUAGAUAUCGCGCAGAACCCCGAUUGCGAAGGCAGCGUGCCGGCUCCACACUGACGCUGAGGCACGAAAGCGUGGGUAUCGAACAGGAUUAGAUACCCUGGUAGUC
RNAcentral lists this ribosomal RNA (459 nucleotides) under uncultured bacterium. RNAcentral's name for it is "partial 16S ribosomal RNA". It matches the Rfam family "Bacterial small subunit ribosomal RNA", at positions 338 to 795 of the family's 1533-position model. The record is from RNAcentral.